UUAAUUAAGAGAUUAAAGAUGUAACGGUAUGUGUUAAUUGAUUCUAUUACAGACAAUAUUUUAGGCAAUUAAAGUCGUGGUGUGGGUGUCAGCGAAAUUUGUUUAUGUCAGUGUCAGUUCAUGAAAUUAGAUACAGUUACUAGCGUUGUUAAUAAGUAAAAUAUUAUUUAAUUGCAAUUUUAUCCUGUUUUGUUAUAUAAAAUACUUUAUUGAAAUUAUUGUGUUGUGGAAAUGUAAUCAAUAUUUAGUGGGUUUUUUUAUUUAAAAAUUGCUUACAGUGUGUCUCUUUUAGGAAUCUCGAAUGAGGCCUAUCGUCAGGCCAAACGAGGAGAUGAUGUGUUGCAUUUCAUAUGCAGACAGUGUGAGGAAAGAAACUGGCCAGAAAUCACCGAUGCGGAUGAAGGAGAUAUCACCAGCACUGACCAACAAUGGAUGGACAACUCGACAUCUACAGAUGUAUCAUCUAUCGUUGCUGAUACAGAUGUAUCAUCUAUUGCUGCUGCUACAGAUGUAUCAUCUAUUGCUGCUGCUGCAGAUGUAUCAUCUAUCGCUGCUGAUCUCGAACCGUUGGAUGGGACAUUCAAUAUCACGCAACGCACAUUCGACGUGACAAUGGAACCGACAGAGACAACACUAGCGGAGCCUGAAGUACCGGACACAGUGAUAGAAGAUGUUCCGAUAACUUUCACUAUGCUAGAGAACGGCAGUAAACGAGGCGGCCGAUUGCUGGUGUCAAGCAACGGAUAUUCAUACGGCCUGAAGAGUUCCACACUCUGGCGGUGUAGCGUGAGAAGAAAGAAGCUGCGUUGUCACGCGACAGUCCUACAGAAAGGCAGUGACUAAGACUUCCGACCAGGUUCCAAUGCGCACGUGCACCCAUCUGACCCGAAGCUUCCUCUUCAAGCGAAGUAUUCCACCAAUGGCAAGCAGCCUAUCAAGGAACAGCCUCAAGCCCGGCAAUGGAUAUUGUUGCUGAUGUCAUGUCGGGCAUUCCUAACGAUGAGCGGUUUCUGGUCCCAAUGCAUACUAUAGUUUUACAUAAAUAAAUGGUGAAGGUUGGAGACCACAUGAGACUCAGACAGUUGGCGGAAAACCCUCAUCAACUGGAGGAAAGUUGGCAAAUAGAUGGCCGUAUAACAGUGACCCUUGGUUCAUGUCGCAUUCGUUCAUAUAUAUCGCAUAACCUUAUUAAUUGUAUUGUUUAAAUCAUUUCUGCUUAGAAUGCUCUUUGAGAAAAGUUAUGGUUAUGAGGGCGCAAAAGUUUGACUUAUUUGUGUUUAAGUUAUUGCUGUUGCAUUACAUUUGUUAGAGUCGUUUAGUUUAUUCUGACCUGAAGGCUCUUAAAGCUAACGCUCAAAUAGAUUUUGGUGCGGAUUUUAGCGAUUUUAAGCAUUGAAUUAAAUGAUUUAUUGUCAGAUCGUCUGAUGUUGAUAUUAAUUAAGCCGUGAAAUGAAUUAAGGGAUUUAUUGUCGGAUCGUCUGAUGUUGAUAUUAAUUAACCCGUGAUAUUAUUGUAUUUCCAUCCAAUACAAAAGCAAAUAUAUGCUUUCUCUUGUCAUAAAGUAUAUUACAAUUAAGUGUAAUCAAAACAUCUCAAAGAAUUGUAAAGAUGAAACUUAUUUUCUCUUUAACCCUUUGCAUGCUGGGUAAUUUGUCUUCUGCUAAAAUGUCGUCUGCUGAAUUUGUAAAAUUAGCAUUUUCUUCGAUUUUUUUCAAAGAAUACUAUCAGAAUAGCAAACAGUUUGGAUCCAGAUGAGACGCCACGUUCUGUGGCGUCUCAUCUGGAUCCAAACUGUUUGCAAAGGCCUUCAAAAUUCGGUUCCAGCACUGUAAGGGUUAAACAACAAGUGAAUUUGGCAAGUUCCUUACCCACCUCUUCUGCACUGCAAAGUUAUGUCAUAAUAAUCGAUAUCAAUAAUCUAUGGUAUUGAGAACUUUACCUUUAGCAAACAUUCAAACUAAAACCUGUCAUAACGUGGUGAAUAAUUCUGUAAGCUUUUUCAAUUGUAUAUGUCAGUGUUAUUUUACGAGGCAAUGUCAGUCAAAUUGUUACACCAGGCCAUGUCAGUAAUGUUAUAGUAAGCCAUGUUUAUGAUGUUAUUAUGUUAUGUCUAUGAUGUUAUCAUAUUAAAGUUGUAAACUAAUUUUAUAAUACCAAUGUCAGUGAUGGAAGACAAGGUCAAGUAAGGAAUGUUAAACCAAGUCAUUUCAAUUAUCUUUCACUAGGUCAUGACCAUUGUU
Long non-coding RNA from Dreissena polymorpha, 2240 nucleotides. RefSeq lists it as uncharacterized. The record is from RefSeq and is a predicted model, not a curated record. The transcript is spliced from 5 exons. Lineage: Eukaryota; Metazoa; Mollusca; Bivalvia; Myida; Dreissenidae.